UACAGAGGGUGCGAGCGUUAAUCGGAAUUACUGGGCGUAAAGCGUGCGUAGACGGCUAUCUAAGUCGGGUGUGAAAGCUCCGAGCUCAACUCGGAGAGGCCACCCGAUACUGCUGUGACUUGAGUCCAGUAGAGGAGCGUGGAAUUCCUGGUGUAGCGGUGAAAUGCGCAGAUAUCAGGAGGAACACCAGCAGCGAAGGCGGCGCUCUGGGCUGGAACUGACGCUGAGGAGCGAAAGCGUGGGUAGCAAACAGG
RNAcentral lists this ribosomal RNA (254 nucleotides) under uncultured bacterium. Its description in RNAcentral is "partial 16S ribosomal RNA". It matches the Rfam family "Bacterial small subunit ribosomal RNA", at positions 524 to 776 of the family's 1533-position model. The record is from RNAcentral.